AGGACGAACGCUGGCGGCACGCCUAACACAUGCAAGUCGAACGGACGAGGAGGAAGCUUGCUUCUUCCAAGUUAGUGGCGGACGGGUGAGUAACACGUGAGCAACCUGCCUUUAAGAGGGGGAUAGCUUCUGGAAACGGAUGGUAAUACCCCAUAACAUAUACUGAUGGCAUCUUCGGUAUAUCAAAGAUUUAUCGCUUAGAGAUGGGCUCGCGUCUGAUUAGAUAGUUGGUGAGGUAACGGCUCACCAAGUCGACGAUCAGUAGCCGGACUGAGAGGUUGAACGGCCACAUUGGGACUGAGACACGGCCCAGACUCCUACGGGAGGCAGCAGUGGGGAAUAUUGCACAAUGGGGGAAACCCUGAUGCAGCGAUGCCGCGUGGAGGAAGAAGGUUUUCGGGUUGUAAACUUCUUUUACCAGGGACGAAGAACGUGACGGUACCUGGAGAAAAAGCAACGGCUAACUACGUG
This 471-nucleotide ribosomal RNA is filed under the name uncultured bacterium. Its description in RNAcentral is "bacterial SSU rRNA". It matches the Rfam family "Bacterial small subunit ribosomal RNA", at positions 26 to 507 of the family's 1533-position model. The record is from RNAcentral.